Molecule: long non-coding RNA, 5635 nt
Filed under: Marmota monax (woodchuck)
Lineage: Eukaryota; Metazoa; Chordata; Mammalia; Rodentia; Sciuridae
Source: RNAcentral
UGAAACAUGGGACUUUUUGAUCCAGGCCUUCCUUAGUUUUAGAGGAGGCAUUGGGGGUCCAGAGAAAGCUCUAAGACCAGUGGUAUCUGCCUGUCCACCCGCCUGUGUAAAACCCAUCAGUGAUGGAGACUAGGUAGGCAGAGAAGUAGCACAAGAGCUGUUGUGGCUGUCAUGAAACAACCUUGCCAUGGGCAGCAAGGUCCUGCUGGCAUGUAGCAGCUGGGCUGAGCAGCUUACUAGGUGGGAGGUAAGAGGUGCAGGUGUGCCCCUGGCACACAGCUUACAAAGGACCCAUAUAUGGAGGCUGCAAUCUGAGCAGCCUGGGCCUGAUUACAGCCCUUCUUCCACCUACACUCCCAAGAUGCAUUAUUCUUCUGUCCCAUUCACUAUCACAGAACCCAGCCACUGCCUCAGGCCCCUGGUUAGCUCUGGCCAGAGUAAGUUUUAGAAUGAAUUACUUCUUUCACAAGGGCAUGCAGUCUCAUACACAUGAGCCUCAGACUCAACAGCUUACUGGAGAACUUUUAAAAGGGCACUUUUGAGUGGAUGGGUUUUUUUUUUUUUUUUAAUUUGAUUUGUUUUGUUUUUUAGUGGAUGGCUUUUGCCUAAAAAAAAAAAAAUGUGAAGUCUUGGAUUUUUCUCCCUGCCAAGCUAUUUGGGGCACCUCUUAUCUGGCUUUAAUUUAGAUUGACCCUCAUAUUCAGAAUCCAAACACUUAAAGUUAUCCAAUUAACAUAUUCCAGAUAGAUGAAACUCUGCUCCUGCACAAGAUGGCAUCAAUGAACCCAUUGUACUUAGUCCCCUGUGUGCUGUGAUGGGCAUUCUGGAGGAUUUGAGGAACACAAAGCCUUACCUCUCAGGUGGCUUAAGUUUGGUUGGAGAGAUAAGGCAUCUAAUACUCUCAGGCUAUAGUCCUCAUGAGAAAGGAUGAAUGUGGCAGGGCCCUUGAGAAUAGGGAUUUAGACCUGCAGAAAGAUAUGUUCUGGGUAGACUGUGCCUUACUCCCAGUUCCCUUCCCAAAACAGAAGCCAAAUCACAUUCCUUGACAAAAGAUUUGGACCAGACCUCCACAGCUGCUCCACAGUUGGACUACCAUUCUGGGCACUGGGCCCUCUGUCAUGGUGACAAGAAAAGGACAAAUAGAGGAAGACAGUGGUUCUCAAAGCUGCAUGUUAGAACCAAUCACUUGAAGAAGUAAAACAUGGAUGCUUUCCCACCUGUUACAAGCCUACUGCACCAGCAUCUCUCAGGAGGGAGCCUGGGUCCCUGAUCUGAGAUCGGUAGCCGGCUCUGAUAAGCAGCCAAGGCUGGGAACUUAGGGUAAGUUCAGGUCAUCAGGACCCUGUUUUUGAUAGUUUGUGCUGAGCACCACCAGAGAGCAGCUCAGGAAGACUUAUGACAAAAGUAAAAUUCAGGGCUGGCUUGGUUCUGACCAAUAAUCCCUACAACUUGCUACGGACAAUAUGCAACCUCUGAAGUGAAGUUUUGGGCUGACAGGGUAGGAAGGAGGUGCUGCACAGAGUGGCUGUUGUUUGGGAUCACAGAUAGAAGGGACCAAACAAAGGGGUGGGGUGAAUUUCCUUUCUGGCCAAGGACACUGAUUUACAUGGCCUUGGGUAUAGCAGACCACAGGGUAAGCUGGACUUGCUAAGACAGUCUUCCCAGAGGAAAAGGACAGCCUCUCCCCUCUUAAAUGUUUCUCUUGGUUUUGUGGUUGGUUUUGAGGUUGAGGAGACCUUUGAGUGAAGUGAAUACACAAAGACAAGGAAGAUGGAGCAAGCCAUUUCAAGAUUCAUUUUCAAGAUUCAAGUCAAUCAGAUGAUGAAUGAAUAUUCUUACAAUUACUCAAUCAUCAACAGAAGUGAAGUACUGAUAGGCACAACCACACAGAUGAACCUUGAACAUAUUGCACUAAGUGAAAGAAACCAAAAAAAUGCUACAUAUUAUUUGCCAUUUAUUUUAAUUAUUUUUUAAAUAUUUUUUUAGUUGUAGUUGACACAAUACCUUUAUUUUAUUCAUUUAUUUUUAUGUGGUGCUGAGGAUCAAACCCAGGACCUUGCACAUGCUAGACAAGUGCUCUACCGCUGAGCCACAAUCCCAGCCCAUUUAAUUAUUUUUUAAAACAUAAAAACCCUUUACUUUUUCUGGAUUUUCAAGAAAUGGUGUGUUAUGACCAUACAUAAUAGUGGAAUUCCUUGUUAUAUAUUCAUACACGUAUGUAAGAAUUUUACAUGAAGCUAUUUAGCCGAAAGAUCCAGAGCAGGUGAAUCUAUAGAAAUAGGAAGCAUAUUAGUGGGUUGCUAUGGGAUGAAUAAAAUGGGAAUUGGGACUAACUGCUAAUAGGUUCAAGGUUUCUUGUUGAGGUGAUAAAAUGUUCUGGAAGUGGAUAGCAGUAAUGUUUGCACAAUGUAGUAGAAUAUACUAAAAACUACUAAAGUAUAUUUUACAGUGCUGAAUUUGAUGGUAUGAAAAUUACCUCAAUUAAAAAAAAAAAAUCAGUCCAGCAAAUACACCACAAUGUGUGAAGAGAGGCACAACUUCAGAUCAAGUGCCAGCUCCCUCCCACUUGGAGAGAAUCAGAGAGAGGGAAGCAACAGGCCUGAAUACAGUUUCCAACCACUCACAUUGAGGAUAAAUAUUUUUUAAUACAAUCCCUAAGAGCAAGCCAGCUACUUCAUCUUCACCGGAGAUGAAGCACUAAUCUAUUCCCAUGCUGGAGGGCAGAAGUUCAUGUGGGACUUACUGAGAAGUAGACUGUGUUCUUCAGCCGUUCUGGAUUUGAGGAUACCUUUGACUGUAAUUUGUGCUUUGUGAGCUGCCUUUCUAUGUUCUAGAUAGCCUCUUAGAGGCUGUAAUGGUGAACUGGAGGCAGAACCUCAAGAAGUGGCUGGCAGAAAUGAAGCUUCUUGUCUUGGUUUAUCCAGCAGCCCCCACUUUCAGGAAGGGUACUGGGGAAAAAGAAAUGAAGGUGGGACCUAUCCUCAAGAAGCAGGGGUCUGAACAAGCAAACACAUGGCUCUAAGACAGUGUGACACAAGUAGGCACAGAUAAUAGGCUCCUAUUCCAGUCUGGGGACAUCUGGAAAACUGUGGCAUCUCCCAGUGCAGUUCAGUUGUUCCAGCCCUCUAGAACCCAUAAAGCCAUUGGUUUUGUGUCAAAAUGCUGUAGGGACAUCUUUAGUGGUCACAAUGAUGGUAAUGAAUGGGAAACAACAGGGACUGCCAUUCAGCAGACAAGGAACAAGACUUCGUGCAGUACAUGCCAGUUCUCAACAAAAAAGAACUGAUUUCCAAAUAUUCUGUUGGACGUCGUGUACAACUAAAUGAAAGCCUCCCCUCCCCCCAUACUGGGGAUUGGGUGCUCAACCACUGAGCUCCAUUCCCAGUCCUUUCUAUGUUUUAUUUUGAAACAGGGUCUAAGUUGCCCAGGCUGCCCUCAAACAACCCACCUUCCUAAGCCUCCUGAGUCACUGAAAUUACAGGAGUGUGUGACCAUGUCCAGCAAACCUGCUUAUUGUAACAAUGCAGAUCUAUUUUAUACAUGAAAAUACUUUUGAAGUUUUAAUAUACUCUGAAAUCUCCAAGAAUGCAAUAACUUUGCAUAUAAAGGGAAGAUAGUAUUCUACCGUACUUUUAACCUCACCAACAUUUGUUGACCAUUUCAAAAAAUCAUGGUGUAUUUGCCACCAACAAAAUAUACCUAUAUCCGUUUGCAUUUAUUUUUAUGGAUUGGUAUAUUAAUUCUCCUUUCACAGAGAUCCACCAAUUGGCACAAGCAUUUAUCCCACUGUGUUCAUCUAGGGUAGUUGUGUCCAAACAGUACAUUCCUUUUAUGUCUCCUUUAUAUUAGAGUUAAGACCUCAUUAUUAUUGGAUCAGUUAAGUUUCAUUAGCAAUUAAUUGCAUCUUGAGAUUGUAAAAUGAGCAUCAGGAAAUAGUUGUUUUAAAAAAGAAAGGAGCCAUGAAUCAACAAGUUGAAAACCACUGCUCUGUCCUUCCCAAAAGUGACCACAAGGUGGCCACCAUGUGGGCAGUACUGCCCUCUUGUGGCCGGGGAGGACACACAUGCACAAACAGCCCUGAGAAUCCCUCCAGCCACCAAUGCUUGGAGCAUGUCCUUGAACUAGGGACAGGGUAAUGUUGUUCCCAAAUCAGCCCCUCUGACUUGGGAAGAAGACCAAGGUGGGAACAGUUUGCAGUGGCUCAAAACAAUAUGAAAUAUUUCUCCAUCACUGCAACCACCACUUGCCAUCCCUCGGCAGGGCUCUCUAUACUAGCUAGGCCCCCUUCUCAGUACUGAAGAAUUCUGAAUUCGUCUCAUUUGUUGAUUCUUGGUUUAAUUCUUGUGCUAUAGGUGUCUUAUUAAGGAACUUGGGGCCUAACCCCACGUGAUGGAAAUUAGGGCCAACUUUUUCUUCUAUUAGACUCAGAGACUCUGGUUUGAUUCCUAGAUCCUUGAUCCAUUUUGAGUUAACUUUUGUGCAUGGUGAGAGAAAGGGAUUCAAUUUCAUUUUGUUGCAUAUGGAUUUCCAGUUCUCCCAGCACCAUUUGUUGAAGAUGCUAUCCUUUCUCCAUUGCAUGCUUUUAGCACCUUUGUCUAAUAUAAGGUAGUUGUAAUUUUGUGGGUUAGUCUCUGUGUCCUCUAUCCUGUACCCCUGGUCUACCAGCCUAUUUUGAGGUGAAGAGGGAGCCUACUACAUCCUGGGAACAAAUUUUUACCCCUCACACAUCAGACAGAGCUCUAAUCUCUAAGGUAUUCAAAGAACUCAAAAAGUUAAACAACAAAAAAACAAAUGAGCCAAGGACCUGAACAGACACUUCUCAGAAGAGGACAUACAGUCAACCAACAAAUACACGAAAAAAUGCUCACCAUCUCUAGCAAUCAGAGAAAUGCAAAUCAAAACUACUCUAAGAUACCAUCUCACUGCAGUAAGAAUGGCAGCCAUUAUGAAGUCAAACAACAAGUGCUGGCGAGGAUGGGGGGGCGGGGGGAUGGUACACUCAUGCACUGCUGGUGGGACUGCAAAUUAGUGCAGCCAAUAUAGAAAGCAGUAUGGAGAUUUCUUGGAAAGCUGGGAAUGGAACCACCAUUUGAUCCAUCUAUUCCUCUUUUCGAACUAUACCUAAAAGACCUAAAAAUGGCAUACAUACAGGGACACAGCCACAUCAAUGUUUAUAGCAGCACAAUUCACAAUAGCUAGACUGUGGAGCCAACCUAAAUGCCCUUCAAUGGAUGAAUGGAUUAAAAAAAUGUGGCAUUUAUACACAAUGGAAUAUUACUCAGCACUAAAAAAUAACAAGAUCAUGGCAUUUGCAGGGAAAUGGAUGGCAUUAGAGCAGAUUAUGCUAAGUGAAGUUAGCCAAGCCCAAAAAAACAAAUGCCGAAUGUCUUUUCUGAUAUAAAGGGGUGACUCAAAAUGGGGUAGGGAGGAAGAGCAUGAGAAGAUUGAGAAGAUUACCUCUGGAUAGGGAAGAGAGGUGAGAGGGAGAAGGGGAAUUGCACGGAAGAAGAUCCUCAUCGUUAUACAGAAUACAUGUAUGACGAUGUGAGGGGAAAAAAAAGUAGUGUGACACAUUAGAUUGGGUAGAGACAAGUGAUGGGAGGGGAGGGGAGGGGAGGGGAUGGGUGAAAGGAAG